RNAcentral lists this ribosomal RNA (468 nucleotides) under uncultured bacterium. RNAcentral's name for it is "partial 16S ribosomal RNA". It matches the Rfam family "Bacterial small subunit ribosomal RNA", at positions 28 to 507 of the family's 1533-position model. The record is from RNAcentral.
GACGAACGCUGGCGGCGUGCCUAACACAUGCAAGUCGAACGGAAAGGCCCUGCUCUUGUGGGGUGCUCGAGUGGCGAACGGGUGAGUAACACGCGAGUAACCUGUCCCUGUCUUUGGGAUAACUCCAGGAAACUGGGGCUCUUACCGGAUAGGAGAUCCUGCUGCACGGUGGGGGUUGGUAAGAUUCGGCGGUUGGGGAUGGAAUCGAGGCUUAUCAGCUUGUUGGUGGGGUAGUGGCUUACCAAGGCUUUGACGGGUAGCCCGCCUGGGAGGGUGGCCGGCCACAUUGGGACUGAGAUACGGACCAGACGCCAACGGGAGGCAGCAGUGGGGAGUAUUGCGGAAUGGGCGGAAGCCUGAUGCAGCGACGCCGCGUGCGUGAUGACGGCCUUCGGGUUAUAAACCGCUUUCGCCUGUGACGAGGCGGGAGUGACGGUAAUGGGUAAAGAAGCACCGGCUAACUACGUG